This is a long non-coding RNA of Rosa chinensis, 180 nucleotides long. RefSeq lists it as uncharacterized. The record is from RefSeq and is a predicted model, not a curated record. NCBI's taxonomy places the organism in Eukaryota, Viridiplantae, Streptophyta, Magnoliopsida, Rosales, Rosaceae. The transcript is spliced from 2 exons.
UUUGUCUUCGAAGAGGUUGCUGGGUUUUCGAAGAGUUGUGUGUUUAAUUUGGGUAUAUCUUUGGUAACAUGAAAGAAGAUGUCAAAAUUGUUUGAACUUUAAACAUUUAGUAUUGAAAAAGAUAAAAUUUGAAAGGAAGCUAUUUCUGCAAUUUUGGUUUUAGUUUUGAGUUUAGGAUCA